RNAcentral lists this ribosomal RNA (468 nucleotides) under uncultured bacterium. RNAcentral describes it as "partial 16S ribosomal RNA". It matches the Rfam family "Bacterial small subunit ribosomal RNA", at positions 28 to 507 of the family's 1533-position model. The record is from RNAcentral.
GACGAACGCUGGCGGCGUGCUUAACACAUGCAAGUCGAACGGAAAGGCCCUGCUUUUGUGGGGUGCUCGAGUGGCGAACGGGUGAGUAACACGUGAGUAACCUGCCCUUGACUUUGGGAUAACUUCAGGAAACUGGGGCUAAUACCGGAUAGGAGCUCCUGCUGCAUGGUGGGGGUUGGAAAGUUUCGGCGGUUGGGGAUGGACUCGCGGCUUAUCAGCUUGUUGGUGGGGUAGUGGCUUACCAAGGCUUUGACGGGUAGCCGGCCUGAGAGGGUGACCGGCCACAUUGGGACUGAGAUACGGCCCAGACUCCUACGGGAGGCAGCAGUGGGAAAUAUUGCACAAUGGGCGGAAGCCUGAUGCAGCAACGCCGCGUGCGGGAUGACGGCCUUCGGGUUGUAAACCGCUUUCGCCUGUGACGAAGCGUGAGUGACGGUAAUGGGUAAAGAAGCACCGGCCAACUACGUG